ACAGGGCACAGUGGCCCGUGCCUGUAGUCCCACUUACUACGGAGGCCAGAGGAGGGGAAUUGCUUGGAAUUAGGAGUUCAAGACCAGCCUGAGCAACAUAGUGAGAUCCUGUUU
Molecule: small RNA, 114 nt
Filed under: Marmota monax (woodchuck)
Lineage: Eukaryota; Metazoa; Chordata; Mammalia; Rodentia; Sciuridae
Source: RNAcentral